AAAAUUAGGAAAAAAUCAGAAAAAAUUAGGAAGAAUUAGAAAAAAUGAGGAAAGAUUGAAAAUAAAUCUACGAUGGUGUAACUUCAGUUGCAUUUCAUAAAACACUUCCAGGACCAGAGGAAGAUGCGAUAACCCCCCAGAUCAGAGAAAAUUAAGAGAAUUCAUCUAAUUUAUAAUCUCCAAUGCGUGACAUUCGGCAACAUGUACAAAAUGCAGCGUACUCUACUCUCCUCCUUGGAUCUCGAGACAUUUUUCAAAGGUUGUCUUGCUUGCUCAGAGCCCCACAGGUUACCUGCAUCUCGGAGGCAUCCAUACAGCUCUGUGCGACACGGUGCAGCUAUUCAUUGGCUCAGGCAAACUAAGGAAAUUCUAUUCUACGUUUAGAAGACACGGAUCAAACAGGACUCGCACUAGAUGCUACCGGUAAACUUCAAGAGGAUCUAUUUUGGGCUGAAAUCAUCCCAUACAAAGACCUGACAAGGAGUGGAUCUGUAGGCCCUUACUUUCAAUCAAAACGUAUGAAAUUAUACA
RNAcentral lists this unclassified non-coding RNA (531 nucleotides) under Athalia rosae (coleseed sawfly). RNAcentral's name for it is "misc RNA ENSAEAG00005011746.1". Lineage: Eukaryota; Metazoa; Arthropoda; Insecta; Hymenoptera; Athaliidae. The record is from RNAcentral.